This 113-nucleotide ribosomal RNA is filed under the name Camarhynchus parvulus. Lineage: Eukaryota; Metazoa; Chordata; Aves; Passeriformes; Thraupidae. The record is from RNAcentral.
GCCUACGGCCAUACCACCCUGAGAACGCCCGAUCUCGUCUGAUCUCGGAAGCUAAGCAGGGUCGGGCCCGGUUAGUACUUGGAUGGGAGACCGCCUGCCGGGUGCUGUAGGCA